This 346-nucleotide ribosomal RNA is filed under the name uncultured fungus. RNAcentral describes it as "SSU rRNA". It matches the Rfam family "Eukaryotic small subunit ribosomal RNA", at positions 20 to 370 of the family's 1831-position model. Lineage: Eukaryota; Fungi. The record is from RNAcentral.
GUAGUCAUAUGCUUGUCUCAAAGAUUAAGCCAUGCAUGUCUAAGUAUAAGCAAUUAUACCGCGAAACUGCGAAUGGCUCAUUAAAUCAGUUAUCGUUUAUUUGAUAGUACCUUACUACUUGGAUAACCGUGGUAAUUCUAGAGCUAAUACAUGCUGAAAACCCCAACUUCGGGAGGGGUGUAUUUAUUAGAUAAAAAACCAAUGCCCUUCGGGGCUCUUUGGUGAUUCAUGAUAACUUCUCAGAUCGCAUGGCCUUGCGCCGGCGACGGUUCAUUCAAAUUUCUGCCCUAUCAACUUUCGAUGGUAAGGUAUUGGCUUACCAUGGUUUCAACGGGUAACGGGGAAU